GGACGAACGCUGGCGGCGUGCCUAAUACAUGCAAGUCGAGCGAAUCAAUGGGAGCUUGCUCCCUGAGAUUAGCGGCGGACGGGUGAGUAACACGUGGGCAACCUGCCUAUAAGACUGGGAUAACUUCGGGAAACCGGAGCUAAUACCAGAUAAUAAUUGGAACUGCAUAGUUYCAAUUUGAAAGAUGGCYYCGGCUAUCACUUAUAGAUGGGCCCGCGGCGCAUUAGCUAGUUGGUAAGGUAAUGGCUUACCAAGGCGACGAUGCGUAGCCGACCUGAGAGGGUGAUCGGCCACACUGGGACUGAGACACGGCCCAGACUCCUACGGGAGGCAGCAGUAGGGAAUCUUCCGCAAUGGACGAAAGUCUGACGGAGCAACGCCGCGUGAGUGAUGAAGGUUCUCGGAUCGUAAAGCUCUGUUGUUAGGGAAGAACAAGUGCCGUUCAAAUAGGGCGGCACCUUGACGGUACCUAACCAGAAAGCCACGGCUAACUACGU
This is a ribosomal RNA of 497 nucleotides. It matches the Rfam family "Bacterial small subunit ribosomal RNA", at positions 27 to 506 of the family's 1533-position model.